Molecule: ribosomal RNA, 685 nt
Filed under: uncultured bacterium
Lineage: Bacteria
Description: bacterial SSU rRNA
Rfam family: Bacterial small subunit ribosomal RNA
Source: RNAcentral
ACCGGCGCACGGGUGCGUAACGCGUAUACACCUACCUCUUACUAUUGGAUAGCCCAGAGAAAUUUGGAUUAAGCCAAUAUGGCACGGCAUCGUUAAAGGUUACGGUAAGAGAUGGGUAUGCGUCCUAUUAGUUUGUUGGUAAGGUAACGGCUUACCAAGACUACGAUAGGUAGGGGCCCUGAGAGGGGGAUCCCCCACACUGGUACUGAGACACGGACCAGACUCCUACGGGAGGCAGCAGUGAGGAAUAUUGGACAAUGGGCGGGAGCCUGAUCCAGCCAUGCCGCGUGCAGGAAGACUGCCUAUGGGUUGUAAACUGCUUUUAUACGGGAAGAAACACCCCCUCGUGAGGGGGCUUGACGGUACCGUAAGAAUAAGGACCGGCUAACUCCGUGCCAGCAGCCGCGGUAAUACGGAGGGUCCGAGCGUUAUCCGGAAUCAUUGGGUUUAAAGGGUCCGUAGGCGGGCGGCUAAGUCAGUGGUGAAAGUCUGUGGCUCAACCAUAGAAUUGCCAUUGAUACUGGUCGUCUUGAAUCAAUGUGAAGUGGUUAGAAUGAGUAGUGUAGCGGUGAAAUGCAUAGAUAUUACUCAGAUACCGAUUGCGCGCAGAUCACUACCAUGGUAAUGACGCUGAGGACGAAAGCGUGGCGAGCGACAGAUUAGAUACCUGGUUAGUCCACGCCGA